UACGGAGGGUGCAAGCGUUAAUCGGAAUUACUGGGCGUAAAGCGCGCGUAGGCGGCUCGGUCAGUCGGGUGUGAAAUCCCCGGGCUUAACCUGGGAACUGCAUUUGUGACUGCAUGGCUGGAGUGCGGCAGAGGGGGAUGGAAUUCCGCGUGUAGCAGUGAAAUGCGUAGAUAUGCGGAGGAACACCGAUGGCGAAGGCAAUCCCCUGGGCCUGCACUGACGCUCAUGCACGAAAGCGUGGGGAGCAAACAGG
RNAcentral lists this ribosomal RNA (253 nucleotides) under uncultured bacterium. RNAcentral's name for it is "partial 16S ribosomal RNA". It matches the Rfam family "Bacterial small subunit ribosomal RNA", at positions 524 to 776 of the family's 1533-position model. The record is from RNAcentral.